This 473-nucleotide ribosomal RNA is filed under the name uncultured bacterium. Its description in RNAcentral is "bacterial SSU rRNA". It matches the Rfam family "Bacterial small subunit ribosomal RNA", at positions 329 to 795 of the family's 1533-position model. The record is from RNAcentral.
UUCCAGACUCCUACGGGAGGCAGCAGUGGGGAAUUUUGCGCAAUGCUCGUAAGAGUGACGCAGCGACGCCGCGUGAAUGACGAAGGCCUUCGGGUCGUAAAGUUCUUUCGACAGGGAAGAAAAUGCCUAUAAGUAACUGUGUAUGUAUUGACGGUACCUGUAUAAGCAGCCCCGGCUAACUCCGUGCCAGCAGCCGCGGUAAUACGGAGGAUGCGAGCGUUAUCCGGAUUUAUUGGGUUUAAAGGGUGCGCAGGCGGCACGGCAAGCCGGCGGUCAAAUCGCGGGGCUCAACCCCGCCCAGCCGUCGGAACUGCCGGGCUAGAGUGGGCGAGAAGUGCGCGGAAUGCGUGGUGUAGCGGUGAAAUGCAUAGAUAUCACGCAGAACUCCGAUUGCGAAGGCAGCGCACCGGCGCCCUACUGACGCUCAGGCACGAAAGCGUGGGGAUCGAACAGGAUUAGAUACCCCGGUAGAA